This 2866-nucleotide ribosomal RNA is filed under the name Oligella ureolytica. Its description in RNAcentral is "23S ribosomal RNA". It matches the Rfam family "Bacterial large subunit ribosomal RNA". The record is from RNAcentral. Lineage: Bacteria; Pseudomonadati; Pseudomonadota; Betaproteobacteria; Burkholderiales; Alcaligenaceae.
GAUCAAGUGACCAAGUGCACAUGAUGGAUGCCUAGGCGAUUACAGGCGAUGAAGGACGUGAUAGCCUGCGAGAAGCUGCGGGGAGCUGGCAAAUAAGCUGUGAUCCGCAGAUGUCCGAAUGGGGAAACCCACUGACCUUAGGUCAGUACCGUUACGUGAAUUCAUAGCGUAACGGAGCGAACCGAGCGAACUGAAACAUCUAAGUAGCUCGAGGAAAAGAAAUCAACCGAGAUUCCGGCAGUAGUGGCGAGCGAACCCGGACCAGCCUUGACGAGAUAGCCUAGUGUAUAGUUGAACAGAUUGGAAACUCUGGCCGUAGCGGGUGAUAGCCCCGUAAACGAAAUACAUUAGGUGGUAUUAAGCGUCGAAUAAGUAGAGCGGGACACGUGAAAUCCUGUUUGAAGAUGGGGGGACCAUCCUCCAAGGCUAAAUACUCGUAAUCGACCGAUAGUGAACUAGUACCGUGAGGGAAAGGCGAAAAGAACCCCGGGAGGGGAGUGAAAUAGAACCUGAAAUCGUGUGCAUACAAACAGUAGGAGCGGACGUGUUCCGUGACUGCGUACCUUUUGUAUAAUGGGUCAGCGACUUACAUUCAGUGGCAAGCUUAACUAAUUAGGAAGGCGUAGCGAAAGCGAGUUCGAAUAGAGCGUUUUAGUCGCUGGGUGUAGACCCGAAACCGGAUGAUCUAUCCAUGGCCAGGUUGAAGGUGCGGUAACACGCACUGGAGGACCGAACCCACUAAUGUUGAAAAAUUAGGGGAUGAGCUGUGGAUAGGAGUGAAAGGCUAAACAAAUCCGGAAAUAGCUGGUUCUCUCCGAAAACUAUUUAGGUAGUGCCUCACGUAUGACUGUAGGGGGUAGAGCACUGUUAUGGCUAGGGGGUCAUUGCGACUUACCAACCCAUGGCAAACUCCGAAUACCAACAAGUCCGAGCGUGGGAGUCAGACAGCGGGUGCUAACGUCCGUUGUCGAGAGGGAAACAACCCAGACCGCCAGCUAAGGUCCCCAAAAUUGGCUAAGUGGGAAACGAAGUGGGAAGGCAUAGACAGUCAGGAGGUUGGCUUAGAAGCAGCCACCCUUUAAAGAUAGCGUAAUAGCUCACUGAUCGAGUCGUCCUGCGCGGAAGAUGUAACGGGGCUAAGCCAGUUACCGAAGCUGCGGGCGUGUUUUUACACGUGGUAGGAGAGCGUUCUGUAGGCCUGUGAAGGUAGGUUGAGAAGCCUGCUGGAGGUAUCAGAAGUGAGAAUGCUGACAUGAGUAGCGAUAAAGGGGGUUAAAGUCCCCUCGCCGUAAGUCCAAGGUUUCCUGCGCAACGUUCAUCGGCGCAGGGUGAGUCGGCCCCUAAGGUGAGGCAGAGAUGCGUAGCUGAUGGGAAGCUGGUUAAUAUUCCAGCACCAGGUUCAAAUGCGAUGGGGUGACGGAUUGCGAAAUGCGAGCGGGCGGUUGGAAGAGCCCGUGACUGGUACUAAGAAGGUGGUUAGGCAAAUCCGGCCACGUAAUUCAAGGUAUUGGUGCGAAGGAGCUACGGCUCUGAAGUUGCAGGCAGUGGUCCCAGGAAAAACCUCUAAGCUUCAGUUUGAACGUGACCGUACCGCAAACCGACACAGGUGGACGGGAUGAAUAUUCUAAGGCGCUUGAGAGAACUCAGGAGAAGGAACUCGGCAAAUUGAUACCGUAACUUCGGGAGAAGGUAUGCCCUUCUGCGUGUUAAAGCGCGGGAGGGCCGCAGUGAAACGGUGGCUGCGACUGUUUAUUAAAAACACAGCACUCUGCAAACACGAAAGUGGACGUAUAGGGUGUGACGCCUGCCCGGUGCUGGAAGGUUAAGUGAUGGGGUGCAAGCUCUUGAUCGAAGCCCCAGUAAACGGCGGCCGUAACUAUAACGGUCCUAAGGUAGCGAAAUUCCUUGUCGGGUAAGUUCCGACCUGCACGAAUGGCGUAACGAUGGCCACACUGUCUCCUCCUGAGACUCAGCGAAGUUGACAUGGUUGUGACGAUGCAAUCUCCCCGCGGCUAGACGGAAAGACCCCAUGAACCUUUACUAUAGCUUCACAUUGAAUCGUGAGCCGGCCUGUGUAGGAUAGGUGGGAGGCGCAGAAAGCGGGACGCUAGUUUCGCUGGAGCCGACCUUGAAAUACCACCCUGGUUUGUUUAUGGUUCUAACCUUGGCCCGUUAUCCGGGUUGGGGACAGUGUGUGGUGGGUAGUUUGACUGGGGCGGUCUCCUCCUAAAUUGUAACGGAGGAGUUCGAAGGUACGCUAAGCACGGUCGGAAAUCGUGCUAAUAGUGCAUUGGCAAAAGCGUGCUUGACUGUGAGACUGACACGUCGAACAGGUGCGAAAGCAGGACAAAGUGAUCCGGUGGUUCUGAAUGGAAGGGCCAUCGCUCAACGGAUAAAAGGUACUCUGGGGAUAACAGGCUGAUACCGCCCAAGAGUUCAUAUCGACGGCGGUGUUUGGCACCUCGAUGUCGACUCAUCUCAUCCUGGGGCUGUAGCCGGUCCCAAGGGUAUGGCUGUUCGCCAUUUAAAGAGGUACGUGAGUUGGGUUUAAAACGUCGUGAGACAGUUUUGUCCCUAUCUGCCGUGGGCGUUGGAUACUUGACGGAGGCUGCUCCUAGUACGAGAGGACCGGAGUGGACGUACCGCUGGUGUACGGGUUGUCAUGCCAAUGGCAUUGCCCGGUAGCUAUGUACGGAAGAGAUAACCGCUGAAGGCAUCUAAGCGGGAAACUCGUCUGAAGAUUAGGUAUCCCGGGGCCUAGAGCCCCCUGAAGGGUCGUUCGAGACCAGGACGUUGAUAGGCUGGGUGUGGAAGUGCAGUAAUGCAUGUAGCUAACCAGUACUAAUUGCCCGUGCGGCUUGAUCCU